CGCGAGUUUCCUUUCCCAGUUGGACAAACGCGUCUUCCUUCUUCCUCACCAAGCUGCGCAACUACAUUUGUGUUGUGUCCCAGAUCUCAUGGAUCUGUCUAUGUUAGUCGAGUCGCGUGAGCCAAGCCAACUCUUUGGUGAGUUUUUUAUGGGUUUUCACAUGGGUUAUUUAAGGAACUAAAUUUAGAUUAAAUUGGAAUAAAAAUUUAGAUUAUUUUCUUAUUGAUUUUGCUAUUGGAGAAGUAGCAUUUGAGUUAUUGGAAUUCACGUCGAGAUUGGAGUGGGUUUUAAGUCUCCAUUGCUUGGGUUGGUUCGUCUCAACCUUAGUUCAACCAAGGAAUUUUGUUAAUCUCGAGGAUUGUGUACCUUGAACAGUGUCUUACCGA
Molecule: long non-coding RNA, 386 nt
Organism: Cucumis sativus (cucumber)
Lineage: Eukaryota; Viridiplantae; Streptophyta; Magnoliopsida; Cucurbitales; Cucurbitaceae
Exons: 3
Source: RefSeq, a predicted model, not a curated record